AAACGACUCUCGGCAACGGAUAUCUCGGCUCACGCAUCGAUGAAGAACGUAGCAAAAUGCGAUACUUGGUGUGAAUUGCAGAAUCCCGUGAACCAUCGAGUUUUUGAACGCAAGUUGCGCCCGAAGCCAUCCGGUUGAGGGCAUGCCUGCCUGGGCGUCACG
This 162-nucleotide ribosomal RNA is filed under the name Taraxacum nobile. RNAcentral describes it as "5.8S ribosomal RNA". It matches the Rfam family "5.8S ribosomal RNA". Rfam says of the family: 5.8S ribosomal RNA (5.8S rRNA) is a component of the large subunit of the eukaryotic ribosome. Lineage: Eukaryota; Viridiplantae; Streptophyta; Magnoliopsida; Asterales; Asteraceae. The record is from RNAcentral.